Molecule: long non-coding RNA, 520 nt
Filed under: Manihot esculenta (cassava)
Lineage: Eukaryota; Viridiplantae; Streptophyta; Magnoliopsida; Malpighiales; Euphorbiaceae
Description: long non-coding RNA (MESC_LNC008776)
Source: RNAcentral
UCUUACAUCUCAGUACAACAGAAUCAGGACAAAGUCUGUGCUGCUUUGUACAGAUGUAUUUUCUUGAAUCCUGAAAUGAUGACGUGAAUGUCUCUAUAACGAAAGAAGUAAAUACAGUAAAAUGGAUGCUUUAAUGCAUACAUUAUUGCCAUUUAGAACUAGGAAGUAGGAUUCACUGCAAAAAAAAAUUGGAGUUGGCUUUUUGGAGUUCUGGAUCAGUAUUAAAAAAUUGGUAUUGCAUUACUUCUGUACUUACAAGCUCAUAAUACAUUGCAAGUAUUAGAGUUUUGAUAUUUAUAGUAUUGGCGUUGUUGUAGUUGCUAUCAUUGGGUAGUACUUUUCAUUAGGACUGUUCAUGGAUCUUGAAUUCUUCGCCUGAACUAAAAAACUGUACUGAAUCGAACUGAAAUUGAAAAUGAAUUGAAUGGAUAAUGCAGAAGUCGAACUAUUUAGCUAUUUGGUUUUGAUUUUAAUUUUUUGUCAAGAAUCUGAUUAAAAUGGUACUAAAUUGAAAUUAAGA